Molecule: ribosomal RNA, 436 nt
Filed under: uncultured bacterium
Lineage: Bacteria
Description: partial 16S ribosomal RNA
Rfam family: Bacterial small subunit ribosomal RNA
Source: RNAcentral
ACGGAAGGCAGCAGUGGGGAAUAUUGGGCAAUGGGCGGAAGCCUGACCCAGCAACGCCGCGUGAGGGAAGAAGGUUUUCGGAUUGUAAACCUCUGUCCUUGAUGAAAAGAAGUAGAUGGUAAUCGAGGAGGAAGCCCCGGCUAACUACGUGCCAGCAGCCGCGGUAAUACGUAGGGGGCGAGCGUUGUCCGGAAUGAUUGGGCGUAAAGGGCGCGUAGGCGGCCUGUUAAGUCUGGAGUGAAAGUCCUGUUUUCAAGAUGGGAAUUGCUUUGGAUACUGAUAGGCUUGAGUGCAGGAGAGGUUAUCGGAAUUCCCGGUGUAGCGGUGAAAUGCGUAGAGAUUGGGAGGAACACCAGUGGCGAAGGCGACUUACUGGGCCGUAACUGACGCUGAGGCGCGAAAGCGUGGGGAGCGAACAGGAUUAGAUACCCUGGUA